UUGGAAAGUAAAGUCAUCCAUUUAUUCACAAAUAGGCAGAGCACUUGCAGUGACAAUGCUCACUUCCCUUUCACUGACCUGCCAAGUUGUUUGAACUCUUUUCCAAAAGACCACAUCUGGUGAGAAAAGAGUCAACCAUUAAGGAGCAAAU
RNAcentral lists this small RNA (151 nucleotides) under Ursus maritimus (polar bear). RNAcentral describes it as "TUC338 (ENSUMAG00000006454.1)". Lineage: Eukaryota; Metazoa; Chordata; Mammalia; Carnivora; Ursidae. The record is from RNAcentral.